AUGACAUCUCCACCGGUUACUCUUGUCUUUGUCGAAGCAUUUAAGCGCCCCUUCCCAACCUAAAGCGCGAAACUUAGCAAACAUCCCGAACUGGCCAAAUUGGGGCUCAUCAACUUCUUUCUCACAAAUAAACGCGGCUGCCUUGUUUUUCAACUUAUUCAUGCAAUCAUUGUAAAGUGUUGGCUGCCAAAUCUCGGGUUGAUCAUCCAAAGACCCCGAGUUCCAUACCGGCUUUUCACUCGGGUCUAACUCCAUCUCUUCUUCGCCUUCACUUUCGCUUUCACUAACCCUACCCAUAUAUUGCCUCUUUCUUGGUGGUUGCUCCUUUUGUUUGCCCUUGCCUUUUGAUGAAGACGAACUUGAACCCGCUUGUUCCUUUGUCCUAGCCAUUUCCUACACACAUGAGACAAGCAACAAAAGCAAACACCAAAUUAAACCCUCUCUUCAAAAUCAUCCCCACACUUGCUUGUUAUCAUGGUUGUAGAUGUUAGUGAACCAAAAGUAUCUCAAAAAUUUUUCAAAAAUUGGGCAUGGUGUCUCUACAAUGUAGAACAUCCCAAAAGUUCACUACUUUAACCACAAAUCCUACAUCUACAACCAAAACCAUGUUCAAAUAAGCAAUUUCAUACUCAUAUCUAAGAACAAGCAAGUGGGCAUGAACAAGUAACCUAAAUCCCUUACUUUUCACAAUGUAGCACCAAAAUAUAACAAAAUAAGCUUUCAUACCUUGUUUAAAGAUGGAAGAGUGCUUGUGAAACCAAAAACUCCAAAACCCCCAAAUUAUCUCGAAUUAGGGUUUCGAAUUCGGACCCCACAAUUGCGUUUUUUCUGAAAUCUCUCCUCACAAUCAACAAGCUUGUGAAAAAUUAGUCAAGUUAGACCAAGAUUUCACUUGAUUUGGACAGGGAUUUGGUUAGUUAUGGAGGAUGGAAGAUUUGGGAAGAAGAAGAAGAUUUGGGGAGUUGUGGUGGGACUUGAGAAGAAGAAGAUGAUUGUAAAGUGAAAGAGAAUGGGUGGAUGGGGUUAUCUUCACGUGACCAGAUUUCGUUUUUAUUUUUUUUUAUAUACGAGCGGACCCCCAAUCGACGGAAACCAAAAUUCUGCGCACCGUAAUUUACGGUCUCACCGUAAAUUACGGUGAGACCUGAACAUCAAAACUGCACCGUAACACAGUAGAGUUUUACCGUAAAGCUCAACUUAUUUCAACCACCACCGUAAAUUACGGCCAUACCGUAAUUUACGGUGCUUACUGGGCAGUUUUGGUUCUCCAAAAUUCGAGUUUUUAUGUAAAACCUUUUUAGAUUUUUUAACUUUUUUCGAUUUUUUUAUGUUUUUUAAUUUUUUCAAAAACUUGUAAAAAUUACCCUACCCCCUCAAAAAUCCCGUGUUGUCCUCAACACAAUGUAAGAGCAAUUCGUGACCCGAACAUCCCCACACUUGUUUCGAACACGGUCUUCGAGGAACUAUGGCAAUUGUGCAAUUA
RNAcentral lists this long non-coding RNA (1483 nucleotides) under Helianthus annuus (common sunflower). RNAcentral describes it as "hypothetical non coding rna". The record is from RNAcentral. Lineage: Eukaryota; Viridiplantae; Streptophyta; Magnoliopsida; Asterales; Asteraceae.